GCAAGACGGAAAGACCCCGUGAACCUUUACUAUAGCUUGACACUGAACAUUGAGCCUUGAUGUGUAGGAUAGGUGGGAGGCUUUGAAGCGUGGACGCCAGUCUGCGUGGAGCCAACCUUGAAAUACCACCCUUUAAUGUUUGAUGUUCUAACGUUGGCCCCUUACCGGGGUUGCGGACAGUGUCUGGUGGGUAGUUUGACUGGGGCGGUCUCCUCCCAAAGCGUAACGGAGGAGCACGAAGGUUAGCUAAUCCUGGUCGGACAUCAGGAGGUUAGUGCAAUGGCAUAAGCUAGCUUGACUGCGAGCGUGACGGCGCGAGCAGGUG
This 325-nucleotide ribosomal RNA is filed under the name Klebsiella pneumoniae. RNAcentral's name for it is "bacterial LSU rRNA". It matches the Rfam family "Bacterial large subunit ribosomal RNA", at positions 2075 to 2399 of the family's 2925-position model. Lineage: Bacteria; Pseudomonadati; Pseudomonadota; Gammaproteobacteria; Enterobacterales; Enterobacteriaceae. The record is from RNAcentral.